RNAcentral lists this ribosomal RNA (506 nucleotides) under uncultured bacterium. RNAcentral describes it as "partial 16S ribosomal RNA". It matches the Rfam family "Bacterial small subunit ribosomal RNA", at positions 28 to 523 of the family's 1533-position model. The record is from RNAcentral.
GAUGAACGCUAGCUACAGGCUUAACACAUGCAAGUCGAGGGGUAACGAGAGGAAAGCUUGCUUUCCUUGUCGACGACCGGCGCACGGGUGAGUAACGCGUAUCCAACCUGCCCCCAACUAGGGAAUAACCUUGCGAAAGUAAGACUAAUACCCUAUAAUUUCCUCAGAUGUCAUCUGACGAGGAAUAAAGAUUUAUCGGUUGUGGAUGGGGAUGCGUCUGAUUAGCUUGUUGGCGGGGUAACGGCCCACCAAGGCAACGAUCAGUAGGGGUUCGGAGAGGAAGGUCCCCCACAUUGGAACGGGGACACGGUCCAAACUCCUACGGGAGGCAGCAAUGAGGAAUAUUGGUCAAUGGGCGGAAGCCUGAACCAGCCAAGUAGCGUGCAGGAUGACGGCCCUAUGGGUUGUAGACUGCUUUUAUACAGGAAUAAAGUUAGCCACGUGUGGUUAUUUGUAGGUACUGUAUGAAUAAGGACCGGCUAAUUCCGUGCCAGCCGCCGCCGUAA